AGUAGGAGUGGCCAAAUGUGUCUGGAUUAUAUAGGAAGGAACCUCUGGGUUAAAGACAGCCUAGCCCCCCGGGGCUGGAAAAUUUAGGGUUGGCCACAGGGUAUGCCUGGUACGGACUGAAGGAUAUUGGGAAAACCUGGAGGCCAGGCUUGUUUUGAUAUAUAAAAUAUGCACCUCAGUCUCUUGUCCUGGGUCAGAAACCAAACAACCACAGUCCGUAGAAGAGACUCUAGCUUCUACAAAGCUGGCAUUUCCUUGUAACCUCCAUAGCAGAGAAAAGCGGGAAAAUCCCAGACAAGAACCAUCAAUACAGAAGGCUGUGUCACUCCAUGACGGCAAUGGUGGCUCAGAGGUUUGGAGAAGCUGUGUGAGGUGAAAGACCCCCGGAGAGGACCUUUCCCUCAGGAGGAGUCCCAAGCGCCCAAUGACCGAGCCGAGUCCACUCGGAUGCAAUCAGCAAGAGGGUUUAUUGGAAAACACAGAGAAUUGAGAUGUGUUGGCUUUAUCUAGAGCCCACUCACUGGAAGCUCUUCGUGGUUCCUCUGACAGGGUCUCCUGUGAACAAGACCUGCCUCAAAGGAACUAUGCACCCGAGGAUGACCUUGAACUCCUGACCCUCCUGCCUCUCUUCCCCAAGUAGUGAGGAUAAAGGCUUGUGCUGCCAUACCAGGCUUAGAACCCAAGAUUUUUUCUAAGAACAUUUAACACUCAAAUGCAGGAAGAAAAGAUUCAACAGUGACCAAACUGAAGUGCUCCAGAUCCACUAACAAAGCGGCAUGCAUCAUCAGCGAGUGCGUCAUUUACAGGUUCUCGUCACAAACCGGUUAAAACAAACUGUCACGAGAGGGACUAGGCAGCCACUGAGGGUGAGCAGGACCCUCCCAGGCAUCUACAGCAUCACUUCCACAGACAGACAUCUUCUUUUCACUGUGGACCAACAUCUUUGCAUUAAUUUUAUGACUUGUGAGCGUGGUGAUGCACACUCAGUACAGAGAACUCGGGAACCUAAAGAAAACAGAAAGCACAAAUAUGUCUUCUAUAUCACUAACUCCAAGUUCUCCCUCACAGCCCAUGCUGUCUUCCGACGCACACUUUACUGUUUUAAUAAAGUGUAAGAGACAAUGGGGAGACAUCUCCCUGUUUAAUGACUCUUGCCUGGAGUCCCAGGCUUCUCCUCAUACAAACUGUCAGAGCUGGAUACAUCUGCCAGCUCCUCGGUUCUUUCUCUCAUCCUCCUUAAGAAUGGCUCGUCUUGGGACUCGUCACAGCCUCGGAGACCAGAAAGAGGACUUCAGAUCCAGUUUGGCACUUGACCCCGCUCGUCAUGGAGAAGAUCAAGCUGAUCCAGCAGGCCAAGCUGGCUGACAUGGCCACCUGCAUGAACAUCGUGAUGGAGCCGGGCGCCGAGCUGUCCAAUGAGGAACGCACCUGCUGUCGGUGGCUUACAAGAUCGUAAGGACAUGGUUGGGGGCCGCAGGUCUGCCUGGAGGGUCAUUUCAAGCAUUGAGCAAGACCAACACCUCCAACAAGAAAUGUCUCCUGUGUCACAUAUUCUGGAGGUUACAUCUGUCUGUGACAACAGGAGUUUUCUUAUGCAUUCUUCAUUUGCUGCUGUGUAAGUUGACAACUUCCUUCCUAAUAGAAAUGCACUAACACCUCUUGCCUUCAUAGCUCUGGUAUUCACUUUACCUUGUGAUAGAAGUAGUCUGUUGUUGCAGAAUACAAGCAUUGCUUUGGGCAAAUUAAAAUGCAUGUCCUUUCUUAAUCCACUAGAAAGGAGAAACAAAGUACACAAGUCCAAGUCUAAACUUUAGACUUUUCCAUGCAGAUUUGUGCACAUGUGAGGGAGUAUCUGGUGUGUCUAGUGAUUGUUCUUUAGAGAGUUGGACCAUUACAUUGUGUGUUUGCUAAUCAUUGACUGUAGUCCCAAAAAAGCCUCAUGAAGAUGUUAUGCCUUAUGUAACAGCAGAGUAACAUAAAAUAAAACUACAUUUUAUAAAGAAGAAGAAGAAAAUGAAGAAAAUGAAGAAGGAGGAGGAGAAGAGGAAGAAGAAGAAGGAGGAGGAGGAGGAGGAGGAAGAGGAGGAGGAGGAGGAGAAGAAGAAGAAGAAGAAGAAGAAGAAGAAGAAGAAGAAGAAGAAGAAGAAGAAGAAGAAGAAGAAGAAGAAGAAGAAGAAGAAAAUGAAGAAGGAGGAGGAGGGCCCAUCUGUCUCAGUGGUUAAGAGCACUGACUGCUCUUCCAGAGGUCCUGAGUUCAAAUCCCUACAACCACAUGGUGGCUCACAACCAUCUGUAAUGAGAUCUGAUGCCCUCUUCUGGUGUGUCUAAAGACAGCUACA
Rattus norvegicus (Norway rat) is the source of this 2339-nucleotide long non-coding RNA. RefSeq lists it as uncharacterized. Lineage: Eukaryota; Metazoa; Chordata; Mammalia; Rodentia; Muridae. The record is from RefSeq and is a predicted model, not a curated record.